RNAcentral lists this ribosomal RNA (893 nucleotides) under uncultured Arcobacter sp. Its description in RNAcentral is "bacterial SSU rRNA". It matches the Rfam family "Bacterial small subunit ribosomal RNA", at positions 55 to 957 of the family's 1533-position model. Lineage: Bacteria; Pseudomonadati; Campylobacterota; Epsilonproteobacteria; Campylobacterales; Arcobacteraceae. The record is from RNAcentral.
AUGCAAGUCGAACGAGAACGGGAUAUAGCUUGCAUUAUUUGUCAGCUAAGUGGCGCACGGGUGAGUAAUGAUUAGAUAACCUGCCCUCUUGAAAGGAAUAACAGUUCCAAACGACUGCUAAUGCCCUAUAUGCCUUUAAUACAUAAGUAUGCAAGGGAAACGCUUUAGUGCUAGAGGAUGGGUCUGUAUGGUAUCAGCUUGUUGGUGAGGUAAUGGCUCACCAAGGCUAUGACGCCUAACUGGUUUGAGAGGAUGAUCAGUCACACUGGAACUGAGACACGGUCCAGACUCCUACGGGAGGCAGCAGUGGGGAAUAUUGCACAAUGGACGAAAGUCUGAUGCAGCAACGCCGCGUGGAGGAUGACACAUUUCGGUGCGUAAACUCCUUUUAUAUAGGAAGAUAAUGACGGUACUAUAUGAAUAAGCACCGGCUAACUCCGUGCCAGCAGCCGCGGUAAUACGGAGGGUGCAAGCCGUUACUCGGAAUCACUGGGCGUAAAGAGCGUGUAGGCGGGUAUAUAAGUCAGAAGUGAAAUCCUAUAGCUUAACUAUAGAACUGCUUUUGAAACUGUAUACCUAGAAUGUGGGAGAGGUAGAUGGAAUUUCUGGUGUAGGGGUAAAAUCCGUAGAGAUCAGAAGGAAUACCGAUUGCGAAGGCGAUCUACUGGAACAUUAUUGACGCUGAGACGCGAAAGCGUGGGGAGCAAACAGGAUUAGAUACCCUGGUAGUCCACGCCCUAAACGAUGUACACUAGUUGUUGUGAGGCUCGACCUUGCAGUAAUGCAGUUAACACAUUAAGUGUACCGCCUGGGGAGUACGGUCGCAAGAUUAAAACUCAAAGGAAUAGACGGGGACCCGCACAAGCGGUGGAGCAUGUGGUUUAAUUCGACGA